Molecule: ribosomal RNA, 467 nt
Filed under: uncultured bacterium
Lineage: Bacteria
Description: partial 16S ribosomal RNA
Rfam family: Bacterial small subunit ribosomal RNA
Source: RNAcentral
GAUGAACGCUGACAGAAUGCUUAACACAUGCACGUCGACUUGAAUUUGGGUUUUUAACUUAGGUUUGGGUGGCGGACGGGUGAGUAACGCGUAAAGAACUUGCCUCACAGCUAGGGACAACAUUUGGAAACGAAUGCUAAUACCUAAUAUUAUGAUAAUAGGGCAUCCUAUAAUUAUGAAAGCUAUAAGCGCUGUGAGAGAGCUUUGCGUCCCAUUAGCUAGUUGGAGAGGUAACGGCUCACCAAGGCGAUGAUGGGUAGCCGGCCUGAGAGGGUGAUCGGCCACAAGGGGACUGAGACACGGCCCUUACUCCUACGGGAGGCAGCAGUGGGGAAUAUUGGACAAUGGACCGAGAGUCUGAUCCAGCAAUUCUGUGUGCACGAUGAAGUUUUUCGGAAUGUAAAGUGCUUUCAGUUGGGAAGAAACAAAUGACGGUACCAACAGAAGAAGUGACGGCUAAAUACGUG